RNAcentral lists this long non-coding RNA (2111 nucleotides) under Sus scrofa (pig). RNAcentral describes it as "lncRNA (ENSSSCG00055029334.1)". The record is from RNAcentral. Lineage: Eukaryota; Metazoa; Chordata; Mammalia; Artiodactyla; Suidae.
AGCUCAAAUAGUUGAGAACCUCCUCUUCCUCCCUCCUCCCUCCCUCUCUCACUUCCUCCUUUUUCUCCUCUGCCUCCCUUUCUCCCCUUUCUCUCGUUUCUGCAGUCUUUCUUCCAGGUUCUGGGCUAAAGACGGGACAUAUCAUUGUGAACAAGACAAGCCUUCAUGCUCCUGGCGUCCACAAGGUCAUAGUGGAGAAAUGGAGACAGGAAAGGACCUUACAGAGAACACAGGAUGCAUCUGAAAAUCCUGGACCCCGCUAGAAGGAUGGGACUUGGUGGGAGAGGACGGUGGUUCAGCUGGUGGGAACAGCAUGCAUCAGAAACCUGGGUGCAUCGCAGGGUUUGGCCGCAUCCGGGAGUGGUGAGAAUUUCUGCGUGAUGGGCGCCCGUGAUGCCCCGCUGCGCAGCACUAGGAGGAGCCAAACCUGGAAGGGGCUGGGUCGGAUUUGACAGGGGAGGGGCACCUGGAUUUUAUCCUGGAGCCUGUGGGUGUUUAAAGGUACGUGCAGUGAUGUUGGAGGGAGGCGGGGCGACUUCAAUAGCAUCUUUAUCAGUCCUGAUGCCGUAGCCCCUAGAUCUAGCUUGCUUCGUUGCCACCUGCCUGCUAUUCACAAAUGGAAAUCUGGGCGAGGAACAUGUUUGCCGACUCCCGUCUCUUAAAUCCUGGGAAGAGAGAGAACAUUCAUAAUCACUGAGCCAAGGAGCGGCCGGCACUUUCAGAUGUCCUGUUAUUUACCUUGACCAUGACGUUGCCAAGGUCACCAAUGGGGAAAGGAGGCCUUGAGAAGUCGAAUGGCCUCCAAAGUGGCCCUAGGGUCCAGCCUCGGUCCUCUACACCCAGCCAGGUGACCGUGCAGCCAAGUGACAGGCAGAUCAGGAACGUCAGGCUCUGUCCUUUCUCUGGUUCCCUUGCUCGUGCAAAGAGAAACAGAGAGAAGCAUCAUGGGCUUGCCUUGAACCAGCAAAACCCUCCUGAGCCGGGGAAAUGUUGCCCUGGCAGGCAGCUGGUAGCUCUGCCAGCCCACAGCCCUCAUCCUACCGAAGUCUGUCCUGGCGAGGGGAGAUGUUUCGAAGUUUCCCAUUUCUCUCUGAUGUCAGAGAUGUUUUAACCAGCUGGGGGCAGAAUUACAUUCUGGAAAUUACAGGGGAUGAGGGGAAAAAAAAAAUAGGGACUAUUACAAAUACAGUAGUCUUUUAGAGUCUGAGCCUCACUAUUAAUGCAUUAUAAAACAACUUAAAAAAUCCUAUCAGGAGAAGUGAUGUUUGAAGCCACGUUAUAUUUUAAAAGUGUCAGGGCACAGGCGAGUUUACAUGUGACAAGCAAUUUAAAUAUUUCAAUAUAUUUUAUAUCUUUAAAAAAAAAUGGCCAUGAUCAAAAACCCUAGAUGAAACUCUUUCAUUUGGUACCUGGGUAGGAAAACAUUGAGUUACAAAUCUUUUUGACAAUGUGGAUUCUGGGUGUUCCAUAACCAUUUUUAAUCUUCUGAAAUAUUUCAUUGCCUAGGAAAGCAAAUCAGGGUCGGGGGUAUUGUGCGCCUUUAACUUCAUUUGUCUUAACCCCCUUUCACUUUCUUGUUCUGCUUUGAUGGUCUGAUUACUUCCCUACAUAAAUAUAAGCCAGAAUUCAUUCUGAGUCUAAGCCUUAUCGCUUUCUUCAGUGGCAAUGAGGGAUGCAGAGGGUCUUUUUUUCCCCCCCCGUGCUUCAAAGUGAAUUUAGUAGUGAAUGCCAUUGCAGAAAAGCCCAUUUAUUUAUCCCUACAACGGAGUCCCAUGCUCCGGCUCAGGUUCAGAUGGAACGAAGAUUUAUUAAGCACAUACUAUGAACCGGGCACCCUGCUAGGCAUGGCUCUGCUGCAGGGAAAAGGGCCUGGCUUGCCUGCAUCAGCUCUAACCCUGCUUGCUGCUUGCACCAGGAAAGAAUUACCUUGCCAGCUGCCCUCAAGGAGGGAGUGGGGAGCUGUCCAGCCUGUCUGAACCCAGCCCCCUGCCCAAGACCUGGUCCCUGGCAGUGAGAGGAGGGAGAGGCAGUCGAGCAGCGGUGACAGCAUAGGAAUUGGAAUCCCAGGAGGCAGGGCGGUGGCUGAUGGUUUUUUUUCUAUGCCUCGAAUU